Molecule: non-coding RNA, 82 nt
Organism: Ciona savignyi (Pacific transparent sea squirt)
Lineage: Eukaryota; Metazoa; Chordata; Ascidiacea; Phlebobranchia; Cionidae
Source: Rfam
GUCGUCGUGGCCGAGUGGUUAAGGCGACAGACUUGAAAUCUGUUAGGCUCUGCCCGCACAGGUUCGAAUCCUGUCGGCGACG